CUCCGCCGGGGCUGUCCGCUCCCCCCUCCGGACGGAUACGGGGCGAGGCGGGGGGCGGCCAGGCCCCGCGGGGCCGUCACCGCACCCACCCCACCCCCUCCUGGAAAGAAGGGAGAGAGAUAACGGACACCCCGCAGGGUGUGCUCAGGGCCGAGGUGCAGGAGAUGGGUGAAAUCAAAUACGCCCGGAGGGCGCGGGGCUGCAGCCCCACCUGAGCUCCCAGCGCACCUGGGCACGGCCCGGCACGGCUGUGCGAGGCUGUCCCGCCCAGAGCAGCCCCGUAGUCACCCCCGCGCACACCUCGGCCUUAAGGACAGGAGACCCCCGGUGCCUGUGGGUCUGCCACGAAAGUCCCGGCGCUCAGCGAGCCGCCACGUGUGUUCGAACACGGACAAGUCGCCUCUUUUGCCCCCUGCCCCUCCAAAAGCGCAGUUUGCCCAACUUCUCUGCUUCUUCAUUUGCUGCGUCUCAGUCUUUAGCGUGGGAGAACCUGGAGAGGGACAGCCUGGGCUGCGCGUGGCGUGGGAUUAGCGGUAGCCCCGAGGAAGGCUGUACACGGGUUUAGAUUAGGAUAAAGCGUUUAUUGAUCGUUGCCUAGAGAUGCCCACUGCCGAAACGCUGAGUUCCUUCGCCCCUUCUCUUCGCUCUGCCUUCCUCCUCCUCCCCGCAAACCAAACUUAAAGUGAAAAGAAAAAAAAAAAAAAAAAAAGCACUGCGCUCUGCCAUUUCAGUCUAAACUCUUGGGUCCAUGUGCGAAAGAUAAAAAUGAAUUUGAAUCGCCAUUGGAAAAAAUCAGGAAUUGUAUGAGAUUUGCAAGAGCUGCUUUCUUAAACGGAAAUUGAGUCCUAUUUUGUGGGAAAUUAGUUUUGCAGACUUUCUGAAAAAAAAAAAAAUCUAAAACUUUUGUUCAGCAGCUGCUCCACUUUUCCCUGCAGUUUCAGGCUGAGCUGGAACCUGCAGCAGUCUUUCGACGGACUUCUGUAGCCUCGCUUGGUACUUUACGUUGGAGGCUAAAAGCACCAUCUUCCCGAGCAAUGCCAGAAUGUAUGCAGAGCAGCAUGCAGAACCGCAGUUUGUGUGGAGAGCACGAAUGAAGGCAAGAGAAAAAGUUACCAGACUGGCAGCAAUCCCAAGCUGCUCACACGCUGAUGUUCAGGACAGCACAUGUGGGUGCCACAUGAGCAGAGUCUAUACUGUCUGGAGAACAUGGGUUUAGGCUUUGCACUGUCACUGAACUAUUAACCUAAACUGCAUGGACACACUAUGCCAAAUAGCCAUGCAUUUGUUCAGCUGGUCCUGGCCCUUUUUAAAGCAAAACAUGGGGAAGUUUCUCAAGAAGAGAUACAGCAGAGGGUCACAGAGGGCACCUACCCCUUCGCUCCAGUUCUGACCUGAGGAGCACUGUGGGGCCCUGUUGUUUCUCCUGUCCGACACUACACACUCAGAGGGUGUUGAGCGCCACAGCCCUGAUCUCUUGCAUCACUUCUAAGAACUGCCAUCAUGUGAGCAAUAAAUGCCCAUCAGCGAAUAUUUCUCUCCACCGUCUCCUGCUGAAUGCAAGGCAGCUUGGAGCUUUGCCUCUUGUGAUAGAAGCCGUGUGUACCAUGAACACAAGCUGUUCACAAGACCACCUGCCUUUUCUUAACCGCGUGUAGAAUUGCCUACCAGGAAUCCCAGUGUGUUUUAUAUGUCAUUAAUAAAGUUAACAUUUCUAUUAAAUACUGCUCCUUUCUGGAAUUCUCACUCAACCUUGAGGAUAAUAAUCAAGAAAAAACUUUCUGUCAC
Molecule: long non-coding RNA, 1785 nt
Organism: Gallus gallus (chicken)
Lineage: Eukaryota; Metazoa; Chordata; Aves; Galliformes; Phasianidae
Source: Ensembl